RNAcentral lists this ribosomal RNA (465 nucleotides) under uncultured delta proteobacterium. RNAcentral's name for it is "partial 16S ribosomal RNA". It matches the Rfam family "Bacterial small subunit ribosomal RNA", at positions 338 to 794 of the family's 1533-position model. The record is from RNAcentral. Lineage: Bacteria; Deltaproteobacteria.
CCUACGGGAGGCAGCAGUGGGGAAUUUUGCGCAAUGGGGGAAACCCUGACGCAGCAACGCCGCGUGAGUGAUGAAGGCCUUCGGGUCGUAAAGCUCUGUCAGAUGGGAAGAAGGUUCCGUUUCCGAAUAAGAAACGGAAUUGACGGUACCGUCGAAGGAAGCACCGGCUAACUCCGUGCCAGCAGCCGCGGUAAUACGGAGGGUGCAAGCGUUGUUCGGAUUUAUUGGGCGUAAAGAGCGUGUAGGCGGCCAGGUAAGUCAGAGGUGAAAUCCCUGGGCUUAACCAAGGAAGGGCAUUUGAAACUGUCGGGCUUGAGUACGGGAGGGGGAAGGGGAAUUCCCGGUGUAGAGGUAAAAUGCGUAGAUAUCGGGAGGAACACCGGUGGCGAGGGCGGCUUCCGGGACCGAUACUGACGCUGAGACGCGAAAGCGUGGGGAGCAAACAGGAUUAGAUCCCCUAGUAGU